UGGUUCAUUAGAGGAAGUAAAAGUCGUAACAAGGUUUCCGUAGGUGAACCUGCGGAAGGAUCAUUAUCGAGUUCAUGCCCUAUGGGUAGAUCUCCCACCCUGUUUUAUCGUACCUCAUGUUGCUUUGGUGGGACGUCCGCCUCGGCCACUGGCGCCCGUCAGUGUGCGCCCGCCAAAGGUCCCGAAACCCUGAUCAUGAACUGUGACGACCGAGUAUUAGUAAGAUAGUUAAAACUUUCAACAACGGAUCUCUUGGUUCUGGCAUCGAUGAAGAACGCAGCGAAAUGCGAUAAGUAAUGUGAAUUGCAGAAUUCAGUGAAUCAUCGAAUCUUUGAACGCACAUUGCGCCCCUCGGUAUUCCGAGGGGCAUGCCUGUCCGAGCGUCAUGAGACCAAUCAAGCUCUGCUUAGUAUUUGGCCGCGCCGGCAAUGGCCGGCCUCAAAUUCAGUGGCGGUGUCGCGGGGCUCCGGACGUAGUAGCAUCGUUCGUUACGGAUCUCCGCGGUGAGCGACCAGAAACCCUCGACUCUUCAGGUUGACCUCGGAUCAGGUAGGAGUACCCGCUGAACUUAAGCAUAUCAU
Molecule: ribosomal RNA, 581 nt
Filed under: Diplolaeviopsis ranula
Lineage: Eukaryota; Fungi; Ascomycota; Leotiomycetes; Helotiales; Cordieritidaceae
Description: eukaryotic LSU rRNA
Rfam family: 5.8S ribosomal RNA (bases 233-386)
Source: RNAcentral